AUGACAUAUGUUAAUUCAGGUUCCACAGUCACGGUGGUCUCAGGAUUGGUGCAGGAAGCAUUUUUAUUAGGGUCCAUGCUGUAUUUUCCAUCUGCUUCAUCAAGGAUCCCUGUCAUGAUGCUGAUGGUUCUCUCUGAAAUUCUCUCUCUGCUUUUUCUACUUCACUGCACAAAACCCUUGAGCAUGCUUGUUCCUCCACUUCAGUAAUCCAGACAUAUGAUUCUAAGAUGGCCACAUCUUCAAAGCUAGAUCUCAGCUUGUCUGUCUGAUUUUCUGGAAUGAAACUGCUUCAGUUCUUUGUCUUGUCCUGUACAUAGAAGAGCACCUGGUAGAGUGCCUGAUUUGGUGAGUGUUUUGGCUGAUUGAAUUAUUAUUUUGAGAUUAGAAGAUUGCUUUUGAAAAUGCACUUUGUUUUGAAACAGAGCUAUUUGGGCCACAAAGUACAGAAAAGUCAUAACUACUGCCAGAAAAAAAGGAGUCUCAAAGAAUAUAGAUUAAGGCAGUGCUUUCUGCUUACAUAUCAAAACAGAAGGAAGCAUUUUUUGGGUUUUCAGCACUUGAUUUCACAAACUCUAUGAAUAAUUUCACUCCAUUAAGCAAAUCUGUAAUCAUUGUAGCCCCGUUUGCUUGUCUAUAAAAUAAAGGGAUUGAAUUACUCUAUCUUUCUGCUCUAAAUUCCUAUGCUCAUAUGUCCAACUGGAUGAUAAUAUUAGCUACAAAUCACAUAUCUAUGUUCUAGUUUAAAUCUUCUCUUUAGGUCUGUGACUUUGGGCUCAGUAUUUAUGUUCUGAAGAUCUUUAAUUUCCUCAUAUAAAAAGUGAUAGGGUUUAAACAGAUGAUUCAUUUCUAAUAUCUAUGAAAUUCCAUAACAUUUAUAGUUCUUAAAUUAUAGUAAUAUUUAAAGCUAUGAAGAUGGGUUUAUUGCACUGUCUCAUGGUGUUUCAGAGUGAUAAAGUUAGGAUUGUUAAAGAAACACUUUUGCCAUGCACAGUUAGGCUCAUAAUCCACGAAAGAUUGCAGUUCAGAAGGUAAGAGGGUAAUAUGAGAUCAGUUACUCUUUGGAAGUCUAAGAUGUUGGAAUCCAAAGAUGAGUACACUUGACCCUGGAGUUCUUUUGUCUCCUGUUCCAGAUAUUAUGGCUUUUUCUUAUAAGAGCAUUAACAAGAACACUUGUAUUGAUUUUUAUUUGUCAUAUAAAUUGUAGGAGUUAAGGCUUGAGCUGUUUUCUUCUAUAGGGAAGGAAUUUAAUCUAGUGUAAAAGCCAGUUGAUGAACUGUUUGGAAAAAUAGGCGUAGACACUGGAACUACUUUAUUAUAACCCAUAAAUCCUUAAUUUGAUCUUGAUUAAUGUUAUAGUAGAGCCAGAACCCAGAAUUUUUUAUUUAGAGAACCUUUGGGAUUAUGUGAAUCUAUUGGACAUAAAUGCCUUUGAGAAUGCAAACAUCUAGGUUACCACUGUUUAGACAGAAAAAUAAGAUUAGUAGACAUUUACUUCCCAGUUACCUGAAAUACUUUCCCCAUGAUAUUUUUAAAAAUUUACAUUUAUUUUAUAUUUCAUUAUCUGCAAAUGGAGUUUCUGGCUAAGUGCAUUCACCAAAAUGAGCAAUGUCGUUUCUUUCUAAUAUUCAAAAGUUUUUUUAGUAGUGACUAUGAAACUAUAAAUCAGAGAAUAUAAAAUUUUAUCAUUAGAAAUGAUGUGUUUUAGAAUGCUUAUUAUUGAAACUGUUUACAUACUUUUGUAUAUAAUACUUAUUGAGGUUGCUUGUAAUGACAAAAAUUUGGUAAAAUUAGAAACAUAAAGAAGGAUAUCCCAUUUCAUAAAAAGUUGUCACAGAAUUAAAACAAGUAGCUCUACAUUAAAUUUAAAACACAAUGCAAAAUUUUGAUGAUUAUUACAUCCAAUUUUAAGAAAAUAUUUUUGUACCACAACAGAAAGCACAAUGAAUAUGGAGACACAAAUUUGAAUAGCUGAAAAAUUAAAAAGAAAAAUAAAUUUAUAUUUGUAUUCAGAGUCAAGACAUUUUUGUAUUGGUUAUAUGUCUCAUGACAUUUUUGCUAAAGAGUUGGAGUCAUUAUAUUUAUUUUUGUUUCUUUAGAAAUAUUUUAAAAUCCAUUGAAAUCAUACAUUCAAAUUACUACUACUCAUUUUAUCAGAGCUAAACAGUAUA
Macaca mulatta (Rhesus monkey) is the source of this 2168-nucleotide long non-coding RNA. Lineage: Eukaryota; Metazoa; Chordata; Mammalia; Primates; Cercopithecidae. The record is from Ensembl.